GGGACGAGAGAGGCAGACNGUAUUUUCGGGGUAGGGGUGAAAUCCUAUAAUCCCGGGAAGACCNCCAGUGGCGAAGGCUGUCUGCUAGAACGCGCCCGACGGUGAGGGAUGAAAGCUGGGGGAGCGAACCGGAUUAGAUACCCGGGUAGUCCCAGCUGUAAACGAUGCAGACUAGGUGUUUGAACGGCCACGCGCCGUUCUAGUGCCGCAGGGAAGCUGUUAAGUCUGCCGCCUGGGGAGUACGAUCGCAAGAUUGAAACUUAAAGGAAUUGGCGGGGGAGCACCACAAGGGGUGAAGCUUGCGGUUUAAUUGGAUUCAACGCCGG
RNAcentral lists this ribosomal RNA (326 nucleotides) under uncultured archaeon. RNAcentral describes it as "bacterial SSU rRNA". It matches the Rfam family "Archaeal small subunit ribosomal RNA", at positions 596 to 921 of the family's 1478-position model. The record is from RNAcentral.